Molecule: long non-coding RNA, 571 nt
Organism: Mus musculus (house mouse)
Lineage: Eukaryota; Metazoa; Chordata; Mammalia; Rodentia; Muridae
Product: predicted gene, 40411
Exons: 2
Source: RefSeq, a predicted model, not a curated record
GCUCCCACCUUGAUGGUAAUGGACUGAACCUUUGAAUCUGUCCUCCCAGCUGGCAUGCCUCGACUGCUACCCUGAACUCUCCAGCCCAGGAGGCUGAGCUGUUCUUCCCUAUAUAAUCCAACCAUUUUGGUUGCCCACAUUUUUUGUACCUUUGGGACACCUGGCUGCUGCACCUGGAUUCCCUCUCUCUCCUUCCCCCCCGCCCCCCACAUAGCACAGCUCAGACUGGUCUUGGCCAUUUUGGACUUUCCCAGAGGUCCUUGUCUCUAAUUACCUUCUCCCUCAUCUUCAAUGAAUCUCCUCCUCUACGGUUAACAAGAGCAGCCAUGUAUCCUCUUCCUCUUCUUUCCUCCCUCCCUUCCUCCCUCUCUCCCUUCCUCCUUCCCUCCCUUCCUUCCUUUUCCUUUUAAUUCACUUUCCAGCCCUGCUACUGGUAAAUUUGGAAUCAACUGUCAAGUAAUAUAACACACCACUGAAUUCAGUGUUGAGAAUACUGAAUUAUUUAAUGUGAAUGGACAGAGUAUUAUGCUGCUAUUUCCAGUGAAAUAAAUUAUUUUUCAAAAAAUAAUGU